AGCCGCACUCCUCACCGUGAAAC
RNAcentral lists this non-coding RNA (23 nucleotides) under Arabidopsis thaliana (thale cress). Lineage: Eukaryota; Viridiplantae; Streptophyta; Magnoliopsida; Brassicales; Brassicaceae. The record is from RNAcentral.